RNAcentral lists this long non-coding RNA (596 nucleotides) under Medicago truncatula (barrel medic). RNAcentral's name for it is "long non-coding RNA (MTRU_LNC003913)". Lineage: Eukaryota; Viridiplantae; Streptophyta; Magnoliopsida; Fabales; Fabaceae. The record is from RNAcentral.
GACGAGUAACUUUGUAUUGGAAAUAACAAUUUUUUAACUUUUAAAAAGUUGAACUCCCUUUUGAAGAACAACGUCAAGCAUUAACUACUCUUUGAAGACAAAUAAAGAGAUCAAAGAAACGACAACCAAACAACGAUGUCGAGCCAAAAUCUUGAAACAAAACCAGCAUAUCCCGACAAACUGCGGUGAAACCUAUGCCAUCAAACGGGACCAACAACAACGAGUGACUCUCGCCACAACGCUUGCAUACGACGGUGUGUCGUCCGCAAAGAAACCCAACAAUAGAAGAGCACAUAACCAAAACAAAAUUCGAGCUAGCUAACCGACCCAUACGCAAAAAAUGCAUGACCCACAAGUUGCUCAGAAUCUCGUAUAUAGUUCGUUGAACAACCCAUUUACAAGGAAGAGGAAGGAGGACGGAUAUUAGAAACAAACGACGGAUAUGAUCUUGUCAUUAUGGGUAACAACCAGUCGCUAAGUGGUGGCAAGAGGUCUAAGCAGUUGUGGUUGUGCAACGCCGACGACUAAGCGAAGGUGAUACGGCCUUGAAAGUCAUCACACCACCAAAACUAAUACUACAUCUUAUCGGGAUUAUU